Molecule: long non-coding RNA, 459 nt
Organism: Podarcis raffonei (Aeolian wall lizard)
Lineage: Eukaryota; Metazoa; Chordata; Lepidosauria; Squamata; Lacertidae
Exons: 2
Source: RefSeq, a predicted model, not a curated record
UCAGGCUGAUGGUUACUUGGUUGCAGAAGUUUACUGGCCAUUGCUGUUGGCAUGGAGAUAGUCUAGGUUGAAUGCAAACAGGCCAUUCUGAUGUCAUGUGUGAUGUCACAAAGAGGAUAUGCUUUAAGUCUUGGUAAAGCCAGAAACAGUUAACAGUCAGACUGCAUCUCAACAUUGUCAAGCUGGAACUCCAUAACAGGUUCAGAAGGAGCUCCUGCUUUAAGUCUGGACCAUCUAAGAAUGCUCAAGUCUUUGAAAGCAUCUUAACAUCAAAUAUUCCUUAGCAUGAAAUGAUAACACAUCAGAGAGAAUACUUGGCCUCUGUAACUUUAGAGGGUUGCUUGAAAUUUGGGCAAUGACUGAAAAAAAAUAUCAGAAGCCAUCUGGUUUCUUGAGCCUCCCUAUGACAAGCUGCAGAAUGCUAGAAUAUGCAAAAUAAACAACUUUAUGCAGCUCUGA